RNAcentral lists this ribosomal RNA (216 nucleotides) under uncultured bacterium. RNAcentral describes it as "partial 16S ribosomal RNA". It matches the Rfam family "Bacterial small subunit ribosomal RNA", at positions 118 to 351 of the family's 1533-position model. The record is from RNAcentral.
UGAGAACGUGCCCAAAGGUACGGAACAACUCCGGGAAACUGGAGCUAAUACCGUAUGUGCCCGAAAGGGGAAAGAUUCAUCGCCUUUGGAUCGGCCCGCGUCUGAUUAGCUAGUUGGCGGGGUAAUGGCCCACCAAGGCGACGAUCAGUAGCUGGUCUGAGAGGAUGACCAGCCACAUUGGGACUGAGACACGGCCCAGACUCCUACGGGAGGCAG